UACGUAGGGUGCAAGCGUUGUCCGGAAUUAUUGGGCGUAAAGAGCUCGUAGGCGGUUUGUCGCGUCUGCUGUGAAAACGCGAGGCUCAACCUCGCGCCUGCAGUGGGUACGGGCAGACUAGAGUGCGGUAGGGGAGAUUGGAAUUCCUGGUGUAGCGGUGGAAUGCGCAGAUAUCAGGAGGAACACCGCUGGCGAAGGCAGAUCUCUGGGCCGUUACUGACGCUGAGGAGCGAAAGCGUGGGGAGCGAACAGG
This 253-nucleotide ribosomal RNA is filed under the name uncultured bacterium. RNAcentral describes it as "partial 16S ribosomal RNA". It matches the Rfam family "Bacterial small subunit ribosomal RNA", at positions 524 to 776 of the family's 1533-position model. The record is from RNAcentral.